UCAGUGGCCUGCCAGUGUCUGCUGGU
RNAcentral lists this non-coding RNA (26 nucleotides) under Homo sapiens (human). The record is from RNAcentral. Lineage: Eukaryota; Metazoa; Chordata; Mammalia; Primates; Hominidae.